Molecule: ribosomal RNA, 497 nt
Filed under: uncultured bacterium
Lineage: Bacteria
Description: partial 16S ribosomal RNA
Rfam family: Bacterial small subunit ribosomal RNA
Source: RNAcentral
GAUGAACGCUGGCGGCGUGCCUAAUACAUGCAAGUCGAGCGAACGGACGAGAAGCUUGCUUUUCUGAUGUUAGCGGCGGACGGGUGAGUAACACGUGGAUAACCUACCUAUAAGACUGGGAUCACUUCGGGAAACCGGAGCUAAUACCGGAUAAGAUUUUGAACCGCAUGGUUCAAAAGAGAAAGACGGUCUUGCUGUCACUAAUAGAUGGAUCCGCGCUGCAUUAGCUAGUUGGUAAGGUAACGGCUUACCAAGGCAACGACGCAUAGCCGACCUGAGAGGGUGAUCGGCCACACUGGAACUGAGACACGGUCCAGACUCCUACGGGAGGCAGCAGUAGGGAAUCUUCGGCAAUGGGCGAAAGCCUGACGGAGCAACGCCGCGUGAGUGAUGAAGGUCUUCGGAUCGUAAAACUCUGUUAUUAGGGAAGAACAGAUGUGUGAUUAACUGUGCACAUCUUGACGGUACCUAAUCAGAAAGCCACGGCUAACUACGUG